GAGUUUGAUCCAGUCUCGGGACGAACGCUGGCGGCGUGCCUAAUACCUGCAAGUAGAACGCUGAAGACUUUAGAUUGCUAAAGUUGGAAGAGUUGCGAACGGGUGAGUAACGCGUAGGUAACCUGCCUACUAGCGGGGGAUAACUAUUGGAAACGAUAGCUAAUACCGCAUAACAGCAUUUAACCCAUGUUAGAUGCUUGAAAGGAGCAAUUGCUUCACUAGUAGAUGGACCUGCGUUGUAUUAGCUAGUUGGUGAGGUAACGGCUCACCAAGGCGACGAUACAUAGCCGACCUGAGAGGGUGAUCGGCCACACUGGGACUGAGACACGGCCCAGACUCCUACGGGAGGCAGCAGUAGGGAAUCUUCGGCAAUGGGGGCAACCCUGACCGAGCAACGCCGCGUGAGUGAAGAAGGUUUUCGGAUCGUAAAGCUCUGUUGUAAGAGAAGAACGUGUGUGAGAGUGGAAAGUUCACACAGUGACGGUAACUUACCAGAAAGGGACGGCUAACUACGUGCCAGCAGCCGCGGUAAUACGUAGGUCCCGAGCGUUGUCCGGAUUUAUUGGGCGUAAAGCGAGCGCAGGCGGUUUAAUAAGUCUGAAGUUAAAGGCAGUGGCUUAACCAUUGUUCGCUUUGGAAACUGUUAGACUUGAGUGCAGAAGGGGAGAGUGGAAUUCCAUGUGUAGCGGUGAAAUGCGUAGAUAUAUGGAGGAACACCGGUGGCGAAAGCGGCUCUCUGGUCUGUAACUGACGCUGAGGCUCGAAAGCGUGGGGAGCAAACAGGAUUAGAUACCCUGGUAGUCCACGCCGUAAACGAUGAGUGCUAGGUGUUAGGCCCUUUCCGGGGCUUAGUGCCGCAGCUAACGCAUUAAGCACUCCGCCUGGGGAGUACGACCGCAAGGUUGAAACUC
RNAcentral lists this ribosomal RNA (911 nucleotides) under uncultured bacterium. RNAcentral describes it as "bacterial SSU rRNA". It matches the Rfam family "Bacterial small subunit ribosomal RNA", at positions 9 to 902 of the family's 1533-position model. The record is from RNAcentral.